This 253-nucleotide ribosomal RNA is filed under the name uncultured bacterium. RNAcentral's name for it is "partial 16S ribosomal RNA". It matches the Rfam family "Bacterial small subunit ribosomal RNA", at positions 524 to 776 of the family's 1533-position model. The record is from RNAcentral.
GACAGAGGUGCCAAGCGUUAGGCGGAAUCACUGGGCUUAAAGCGUGUGUAGGCGGGUCGUUAAGUACCUUGUGAAAUCCCACGGCUCAACCGUGGAACUGCUUGGUAUACUGGCGAUCUUGAGCCAGCUAGGGGCUACCGGAACAAACGGUGGAGCGGUGAAAUGCGUAGAUAUCGUUUGGAACGCCAAUGGUGAAAACAGGUAGCUGGGGCUGUGCUGACGCUGAGACACGAAAGCCAGGGGAGCGAACGGG